This 272-nucleotide ribosomal RNA is filed under the name uncultured prokaryote. Its description in RNAcentral is "partial 16S ribosomal RNA". It matches the Rfam family "Bacterial small subunit ribosomal RNA", at positions 505 to 776 of the family's 1533-position model. The record is from RNAcentral.
GUGUCAGCCGCCGCGGUAAUACGAAGGGGGCUAGCGUUGUUCGGAUUUACUGGGCGUAAAGCGCACGUAGGCGGACUAUUAAGUCAGGGGUGAAAUCCCGGGGCUCAACCCCGGGACUGCCUUUGAUACUGGUAGUCUUGAGUUCGAGAGAGGUGAGUGGAAUUCCGAGUGUAGAGGUGAAAUUCGUAGAUAUUCGGAGGAACACCAGUGGCGAAGGCGGCUCACUGGCUCGAUACUGACGCUGAGGUGCGAAAGCGUGGGGAGCAAACAGG